GGAGCUGGGCGUUGAAUGUGAGUGCCAAGUGGGCCAUUUUUGGUAAGCAGAACUGGCGCUGUGGGAUGAACCAAACGUUCGGUUAAGGUGCCUAACGCGACGCUCAUGAGAUACCACAAAAGGUGUUGGUUGGUCCAGACAGCAGGACGGUGGCCAUGGAAGUUGGAAUCCGCUAAGGAGUGUGUAACAACUCACCUGCCGAAUCAACCAGCCCUGAAAAUGGAUGGCGCUGGAGCGUCGGACCUAUACCGGACCGUCAUUGCAAGCUGAGUCGGUAAUGUGUGGUGUGAGGGCAAGCCACAUGACUCAGGCGCGGAAUUGUUGUGACGAGUAGGAGGGUCGCCGUGGUGAGCGGGAAGCUUCGGGCGUGAGCCUGAGUGGAGCCGCCACGGGUGCAGAUCUUGGUGGUA
Molecule: ribosomal RNA, 410 nt
Filed under: Fasciola hepatica (liver fluke)
Lineage: Eukaryota; Metazoa; Platyhelminthes; Trematoda; Plagiorchiida; Fasciolidae
Description: eukaryotic LSU rRNA
Rfam family: Eukaryotic large subunit ribosomal RNA
Source: RNAcentral